CAGGUCAUAUGUUGCCACUAGCAUAUGGUGUUAUUGAUUCAGAGAACGAUGCUGCUUGGUAGUGGUUCUUUGAGCAAUUCAAGGAAGCAUAUAGUGAGAGGGAAAACAUGUACAUCGUUUCAGAUAGGAAUGAGAGUAUCAUCAAAUCUAUAUCAAGAGUGUAUCCAGCGGUACCACAUUUUGCUUGUAUAUGGCAUCUAUGGAACAACGUAUAUAAGAAAUUCAAAAAGAGUCAUUCAAAAUUGAGUGAGGAAGAUGUUUGGACGUUGGAAUUGCAGCAAUCGGAAAGAAGCUUCACUGACAUACACAACGCUUGAAAAACAAUACCAGGAUAUGCUUACCUUGAAUGAUGCAAUAUCUAGAUGCAUGACUGCAAGUUAUUUUUUUAUAAGUCAUUGUAUCCUAUAUUUAUCCAUGGUACAAGGUGUAUUUAUUUCUGAUACUAUUUCUACUAUUCAAAAUACAGAACUUAUGUUAAUUGUAUUGUUAGUUGAAUUUAAUGGUUUUAUUUCUAACCAUAUGCACUCCAUAAGCAGAUAGUUACUGUAUAUUACUGUAUUCACCAGUCAAGAUGUAAUCAUCUUUAAUAUUCUGCCAGCCUACAUAUAGAAUGUAUUCCAUUGUAUUCAAUGUAUUUCAUUGUAUAUAGUUGUAUUUCUUUGUAUUUUAUAUAUACAUAUAUGUUUGUAUUCAAUACAAAUUUGUUUGAAUUCAAUAUAUAUGAUGAUUCUGAAAACUAAAUAAAAUUUUUAUGUUGUAUAUUUGAAUUAUAUUUUAAUUAUAUGUCUAUAUUGUAAUUAAUAUGUGUAUUCUUUGAUAUAUAAAUGAUUUUAAAAAAAAUAUUUUAAACUAAUUGGUCUAUGUUUAAAUGUUGGUGGUACCAUCGACCGAAUACUUGUAUACAGUGAACGAUAAAGAUGC
RNAcentral lists this long non-coding RNA (921 nucleotides) under Nicotiana tabacum (common tobacco). Its description in RNAcentral is "long non-coding RNA (NTAB_LNC007403)". The record is from RNAcentral. Lineage: Eukaryota; Viridiplantae; Streptophyta; Magnoliopsida; Solanales; Solanaceae.